Molecule: ribosomal RNA, 404 nt
Filed under: uncultured bacterium
Lineage: Bacteria
Description: bacterial SSU rRNA
Rfam family: Bacterial small subunit ribosomal RNA
Source: RNAcentral
UGGGGAAUAUUGGACAAUGGGGGCAACCCUGAUCCAGCAAUGCCGCGUGAGUGAUGAAGGCCUUCGGGUUGUAAAGCUCUUUUGGCGGGGACGAUGAUGACGGUACCCGCAGAAUAAGCCCCGGCUAACUUCGUGCCAGCAGCCGCGGUAAUACGAAGGGGGCUAGCGUUGUUCGGAAUUACUGGGCGUAAAGGGCGCGUAGGCGGUCCUGAUCGUCGGAUGUGAAAGGCCUGGGCUCAACCUGGGAAUGGCAUCCGAUACGGCGGGACUGGAGUGUGGGAGAGGUUGGUGGAAUUCCCAGUGUAGAGGUGAAAUUCGUAGAUAUUGGGAAGAACACCGGUGGCGAAGGCGGCCAACUGGACCACAACUGACGCUGAGGCGCGAAAGCGUGGGGAGCAAACAGG